RNAcentral lists this ribosomal RNA (497 nucleotides) under uncultured bacterium. RNAcentral's name for it is "partial 16S ribosomal RNA". It matches the Rfam family "Bacterial small subunit ribosomal RNA", at positions 28 to 507 of the family's 1533-position model. The record is from RNAcentral.
GAUGAACGCUGGCGGCGUGCCUAAUACAUGCAAGUCGAGCGAACAGAUGAGGAGCUUGCGCCUCUGACGUUAGCGGCGGACGGGUGAGUAACACGUGGAUAGCCUACCUAUAAUACUGGGAGAACUUCGGGAAACCGGAGCUAAUACCGGAUAAUAUAUUGAACCGCAUGGUUCAAUAGUGAAAGACGGUUUUGCUGUCACUUAUAGAUGGAUCCGCGCCGCAUUAGCUAGUUGGUAAGGUAAAGGCUUACCAAGGCAACGAUGCGUAGCCGAGCUGAGAGGAUGAUCGGCCACACUGGAACUGAGACACGGUCCAGACUCCUACGGGAGGCAGCAGUAGGGAAUCUUCCGCAAUGGGCGAAAGCCUGACCGAGCCACGCCGCGUGAGUGAUGAAGGUCUUCGGAUCGUAAAACUCUGUUAUUAGGGAAGAAAAGAUGUGUAAGUAACCAUGCACGUCUUGACGGUACCUAAUGAGAAAGCACCGGCUAACUACGUG